GAUGAAGGACGGGACUAACACCGAUAUGCUUUGGGGAGCUGUAAGUAAGCUAUGAUCCAGAGAUUUCCGAAUGGGGGAACCCAAUAUCUUUUAUAGGAUAUUACUUUUCAGUGAAUACAUAGCUGAUUAGAGGUAGACGCAGAGAACUGAAACAUCUUAGUACCUGCAGGAAGAGAAAGAAAAUUCGAUUCCCUGAGUAGCGGCGAGCGAAACGGGAAGAGCCCAAACCAACAAGCUUGCUUGUUGGGGUUGUAGGACUCCAAUAUGGUAGUCUGUUAGUAUAGUUGAAGGAUUUGGAAAAUUCCGCUAAAGAGGGUGAAAGCCCCGUAGACGAAAUGCUGACAACACCUAGGAGGAUCCUGAGUACGGCGGAACACGAGAAAUUCCGUCGGAAUCCGCGGGGACCAUCCCGCAAGGCUAAAUACUCCCUAGUGACCGAUAGUGAACCAGUACCGUGAGGGAAAGGUGAAAAGCACCCCGGAAGGGGAGUGAAAUAGAUCCUGAAACCGUGUGCCUACAACAAGUCAAAGCUCGUUAAUGAGUGAUGGCGUGCCUUUUGUAGAAUGAACCGGCGAGUUACGAUUGCAUGCGAGGUUAAGUCGAAGAGACGGAGCCGCAGCGAAAGCGAGUCUGAAUAGGGCGAAUGAGUAUGUAGUCGUAGACCCGAAACCAUGUGAUCUACCCAUGUCCAGGUUGAAGGUGCGGUAAAACGCACUGGAGGACCGAACCCACGUACGUUGAAAAGUGCGGGGAUGAGGUGUGGGUAGCGGAGAAAUUCCAAACGAACUUGGAGAUAGCUGGUUCUCUCCGAAAUAGCUUUAGGGCUAGCCUCGGAAUUGAGAAUGAUGGAGGUAGAGCACUGUUUGGACUAGGGGCCCAUCUCGGGUUACCGAAUUCAGAUAAACUCCGAAUGCCAUUCAUUUAUAUCCGGGAGUCAGACUGCGAGUGAUAAGAUCCGUAGUCGAAAGGGAAACAGCCCAGACCACCAGCUAAGGUCCCAAAAUAUAUGUUAAGUGGAAAAGGAUGUGGGGUUGCACAGACAACUAGGAUGUUGGCUUAGAAGCAGCCACCAUUUAAAGAGUGCGUAAUAGCUCACUAGUCGAGUGACCCUGCGCCGAAAAUGUACCGGGGCUAAACAUAUUACCGAAGCUGUGGACUACACCAUUAGGUGUAGUGGUAGGAGAGCGUUCUAAGGGCGUUGAAGGUCGAUCGUGAGGACGGCUGGAGCGCUUAGAAGUGAGAAUGCCGGUAUGAGUAGCGAAAGACAGGUGAGAAUCCUGUCCACCGUAUGACUAAGGUUUCCUGGGGAAGGCUCGUCCGCCCAGGGUUAGUCGGGACCUAAGCCGAGGCCGAUAGGCGUAGGCGAUGGACAACAGGUUGAUAUUCCUGUACCAGUUGUUUUUGUUUGAGCAAUGGAGGGACGCAGUAGGCUAAGGAAUGCAUGCGAUUGGAAGUGCAUGUCCAAGCAAUGAGUCUUGAGUAGAGUUAAAUGCUUUACUCUUUAAGGACAAGUUGUGACGGGGAGCGAAAUAAUAGUAGCGAAGUUCCUGAUGUCACACUGCCAAGAAAAGCUUCUAGUGAGAAAACAACUGCCCGUACCGUAAACCGACACAGGUAGUCGAGGAGAGUAUCCUAAGGUGAGCGAGCGAACUCUCGUUAAGGAACUCGGCAAAAUGACCCCGUAACUUCGGGAGAAGGGGUGCUGACUUCGGUCAGCCGCAGUGAAUAGGCCCAAGCGACUGUUUAUCAAAAACGGUCCUAAGGUAGCGAAAUUCCUUGUCGGGUAAGUUCCGACCCGCACGAAAGGCGUAACGAUUUGGGCACUGUCUCAACGAGAGACUCGGUGAAAUUUUAGUACCUGUGAAGAUGCAGGUUACCCGCGACAGGACGGAAAGACCCCAUGGAGCUUUACUGUAGUUUGAUAUUGAGUGUUUGUACCACAUGUACAGGAUAGGUAGGAGCCGAUGAGACCGGAACGCUAGUUUCGGAGGAGGCGCUGGUGGGAUACUACCCUUGUGUUAUGAACCCUCUAACCCGCACCACUAAUCGUGGUGGGAGACAGUGUCAGAUGGGCAGUUUGACUGGGGCGGUCGCCUCCUAAAAGGUAACGGAGGCGCCCAAAGGUUCCCUCAGAAUGGUUGGAAAUCAUUCGAAGAGUGUAAAGGCAGAAGGGAGCUUGACUGCGAGACCUACAAGUCGAGCAGGGACGAAAGUCGGGCUUAGUGAUCCGGUGGUUCCGCAUGGAAGGGCCAUCGCUCAACGGAUAAAAGCUACCCUGGGGAUAACAGGCUUAUCUCCCCCAAGAGUCCACAUCGACGGGGAGGUUUGGCACCUCGAUGUCGGCUCGUCGCAUCCUGGGGCUGUAGUCGGUCCCAAGGGUUGGGCUGUUCGCCCAUUAAAGCGGCACGCGAGCUGGGUUCAGAACGUCGUGAGACAGUUCGGUCCCUAUCCGUCGCGGGCGUUGGAAAUUUGAGAGGAGCUGUCCUUAGUACGAGAGGACCGGGAUGGACUUACCGCUGGUGUACCAGUUGUUCUGCCAAGGGCAUUGCUGGGUAGCUAUGUAGGGAAGGGAUAAACGCUGAAAGCAUCUAAGUGUGAAGCCCACCUCAAGAUGAGAUUUCCCAUUUCUUUAAGAAAGUAAGACCCCUGAGAGAUGAUCAGGUAGAUAGGUUGGAAGUGGAAGGCUAGUGAUAGUUGGAGCGGACCAAUACUAAUCGGUCGAGGACUUAACCAA
RNAcentral lists this ribosomal RNA (2734 nucleotides) under Enterobacter sp. Its description in RNAcentral is "partial 23S ribosomal RNA". It matches the Rfam family "Bacterial large subunit ribosomal RNA". The record is from RNAcentral. Lineage: Bacteria; Pseudomonadati; Pseudomonadota; Gammaproteobacteria; Enterobacterales; Enterobacteriaceae.